GUGGGGAAUCUUCCGCAAUGGGCGCAAGCCUGACGGAGCAACGCCGCGUGAGUGAAGAAGGGUUUCGACUCGUAAAGCUCUGUUGUCGGGGACGAAUGUGGAGAUGGUGAAUAACCAUUUCCAAUGACGGUACCUGACGAGGAAGCCACGGCUAACUACGUGCCAGCAGCCGCGGUAAUACGUAGGUGGCGAGCGUUGUCCGGAAUUAUUGGGCGUAAAGGGAGCGCAGGCGGGAGGUCAAGUCUAUCUUAAAAGUGCGGGGCUCAACCCCGUGAGGGGAUGGAAACUGGUCUUCUUGAGUGCAGGAGAGGAAAGCGGAAUUCCUAGUGUAGCGGUGAAAUGCGUAGAUAUUAGGAGGAACACCAGUGGCGAAGGCGGCUUUCUGGACUGUAACUGACGCUGAGGCUCGAAAGCGUGGGGAGCGAACAGGAUUAGAAACCCUAGUAGUCC
RNAcentral lists this ribosomal RNA (450 nucleotides) under uncultured bacterium. Its description in RNAcentral is "bacterial SSU rRNA". It matches the Rfam family "Bacterial small subunit ribosomal RNA", at positions 354 to 796 of the family's 1533-position model. The record is from RNAcentral.